Molecule: ribosomal RNA, 483 nt
Filed under: uncultured bacterium
Lineage: Bacteria
Description: partial 16S ribosomal RNA
Rfam family: Bacterial small subunit ribosomal RNA
Source: RNAcentral
GACGGACGCUGGCGGCGUGCUUAACACAUGCAAGUCGAACGAUGAAGCUGGAGCUUGCUCCGGUGGAUUAGUGGCGAACGGGUGAGUAACACGUGAGCAAUCUGCCCUUGACUCUGGGAUAACUGCGGGAAACUGUAGCUAAUACCGGAUACGAGAUUUGGAGGCAUCUCCGGAUCUGGAAAGAAUUUCGGUCAAGGAUGAGCUCGCGGCCUAUCAGCUUGUUGGUAAGGUAAUGGCUCACCAAGGCGACGACGGGUAGCCGGCCUGAGAGGGUGACCGGCCACACUGGGACUGAGACACGGCCCAGACUCCUACGGGAGGCAGCAGUGGGGAAUAUUGCACAAUGGGCGAAAGCCUGAUGCAGCAACGCCGCGUGAGGGAUGAAGGCCUUCGGGUUGUAAACCUCUUUUAGUAGGGAAGAAGCGAAAGUGACGGUACCUACAGAAAAAGCACCGGCUAACUACGUGCCAGCCGCCGCCGUAA